RNAcentral lists this transfer RNA (72 nucleotides) under Stegodyphus mimosarum. It matches the Rfam family "tRNA". Rfam says of the family: Transfer RNA (tRNA) molecules are approximately 80 nucleotides in length. Their secondary structure includes four short double-helical elements and three loops (D, anti-codon, and T loops). Further hydrogen bonds mediate the characteristic L-shaped molecular structure. tRNAs have two regions of fundamental functional importance: the anti-codon, which is responsible for specific mRNA codon recognition, and the 3' end, to which the tRNAs corresponding amino acid is attached (by aminoacyl-tRNA synthetases). tRNAs cope with the degeneracy of the genetic code in two manners: having more than one tRNA (with a specific anti-codon) for a particular amino acid; and 'wobble' base-pairing, i.e. permitting non-standard base-pairing at the 3rd anti-codon position. The record is from Rfam by way of RNAcentral. Lineage: Eukaryota; Metazoa; Arthropoda; Arachnida; Araneae; Eresidae.
GCCUUUGUGGUGUAAUGGUCAGCACCCUCGGCGUGUAUUCAAGAGUUCCAGGUUCGAGUCCCGGCGAGGGCA